UUCAGAUUUGACUUAGUGGCGGACGGGUGAGUAAUGCAUGAGCAACCUGCCCUGCAGUGGGGGACAACAGUUGGAAACGACUGCUAAUACCGCAUAAUGUAUUCUGACCGCAUGAUCGGAAUACCAAAGAUUUAUUGCUGAAAGAUGGCCUCGCGUCUGAUUAGAUAGUUGGCGGGGUAACGGCCCACCAAGUCGACGAUCAGUAGCCGGACUGAGAGGUUGAACGGCCACAUUGGGACUGAGACACGGCCCAGACUCC
This 259-nucleotide ribosomal RNA is filed under the name uncultured Oscillospiraceae bacterium. RNAcentral describes it as "partial 16S ribosomal RNA". It matches the Rfam family "Bacterial small subunit ribosomal RNA", at positions 80 to 339 of the family's 1533-position model. Lineage: Bacteria; Bacillati; Bacillota; Clostridia; Eubacteriales; Oscillospiraceae. The record is from RNAcentral.